RNAcentral lists this long non-coding RNA (662 nucleotides) under Equus caballus (horse). Its description in RNAcentral is "lncRNA (ENSECAG00000056438.1)". Lineage: Eukaryota; Metazoa; Chordata; Mammalia; Perissodactyla; Equidae. The record is from RNAcentral.
GGGCUUCAAAGGGGACCUCUCGACUUUUCACAGGGAGGAGAAGCGCUCCUCCUCCCCACCUCUCCAUCAUCCGGAGUCAGAGUUCUCACCCCUCCACCUCCUACCCUCUCCCCUCCCCAUGCUGCUAUCUAACUGCCACCUGCUCUUCCCCCACUACCAAUUCUGAGCGACUGCAGAGCCAGAAAGAAGCACCUCCUUGCAAACUCUUCUCCGGAUCUACAGCCCUUCCAGUCCCAAGGCUGCUUUCAACCUUUUCUUUAAAGUGAACCUCAAAACAUGGAGAGAUAGCCGGUGUCCUCCAGGAUACUGUUCCAGCCUCCAUGUGCCGUCUGCAGUUUGGAUUUGAGCAUGGUGACCUAAAUCCUAAUAAUGACAGUCAUGAUCCAAUGAUAAAAGCAGCUGAGUCUGUGCAUUCCUGAAUGACGGCAUUGGGAGGAGUCCACUGUGAGACUGCAAUCGAGCCGCUGCAAUUGCCUCCUCACCAAACAUUCAGUGGAUUGCUUUCCAGAGUACACAUUUCUAAUUUUAUAAAGCAAAUCAGCGGGGGAAUGGGAUUUACUUUACACGGUGUACUUUAUUGGCAGCUCCCUGGAACACAUCUAUUUCAUAAAAGUAAAGGAUAGCCGUCUUGCAUCUGAUCCAAACUUCAAGAGGGAUGUGGG